GGAGAGGGAAGCGCUCCCGACAGGGCCACAAGGCUGAGAAGUCUGGAGAGGAGGCCCAGAGAGGGAAAAAUGAGCCUGGAGACGGCGCCAACAAGAAACAAGGGAAGAGGAGUCAGUCAUAACAUUAGAGCUCUCAACUGAACCUGGUCCACCUGCGAC
Seriola dumerili (greater amberjack) is the source of this 159-nucleotide long non-coding RNA. RefSeq lists it as uncharacterized. NCBI's taxonomy places the organism in Eukaryota, Metazoa, Chordata, Actinopteri, Carangiformes, Carangidae. The transcript has 3 exons. The record is from RefSeq and is a predicted model, not a curated record.